Aotus nancymaae (Ma's night monkey) is the source of this 113-nucleotide unclassified non-coding RNA. It matches the Rfam family "Y RNA". Rfam says of the family: Y RNAs are components of the Ro ribonucleoprotein particle (Ro RNP), in association with Ro60 and La proteins. The Y RNAs and Ro60 and La proteins are well conserved, but the function of the Ro RNP is not known. NCBI's taxonomy places the organism in Eukaryota, Metazoa, Chordata, Mammalia, Primates, Aotidae. The record is from Ensembl.
GGCUGGCCUGAAGGUACUGAUUCAUCUCAAAUGAUCGCCCUCUGUCAGUCACAGAUUGAAAUCUUUGUUCCACUCUUUCUCUCCUUCUCACUACUGUACUUGACUAGUCUUUU